RNAcentral lists this long non-coding RNA (248 nucleotides) under Brassica napus (rape). RNAcentral's name for it is "long non-coding RNA (BNAP_LNC006691)". Lineage: Eukaryota; Viridiplantae; Streptophyta; Magnoliopsida; Brassicales; Brassicaceae. The record is from RNAcentral.
CUGAUGGAGUUCUUGAAAUACCUUAAUGAGAAACUUGUUUCACCUUUUCUAUUUUCUUUAUUUUAAUCUCUAGAAACUGUGUUAAAGCCUCACUUGUGAACGAAGAGGGAUUAUAAUGGUGAAGAGGUAAACUUUAUUUCUUUUAAACUCUCUUACAUUGUUUUGAUACAAUACAAGUCUUUGUAUAGAGAUAUAAUUAGGUUUAGAUGUCUACGCCAGCUCAUCGCUUAGGGAUUGGAAUCUAUUUG